RNAcentral lists this signal recognition particle RNA (98 nucleotides) under Helicobacter sp. CLO-3. RNAcentral describes it as "Bacterial small signal recognition particle RNA". It matches the Rfam family "Bacterial small signal recognition particle RNA". From Rfam's summary of the family: The signal recognition particle (SRP) is a universally conserved ribonucleoprotein involved in the co-translational targeting of proteins to membranes. Archaeal SRP consists of a 7S RNA and homologues of the eukaryotic SRP19 and SRP54 proteins. Lineage: Bacteria; Pseudomonadati; Campylobacterota; Epsilonproteobacteria; Campylobacterales; Helicobacteraceae. The record is from Rfam by way of RNAcentral.
UUUUCAGACCUAUGCAAGGUUAUUUUCUGGCAACGCUUCAGGGUGGGAACACAGCAGAGCACUGGAUUUUGGCUUGUGCCGUAGGUAUCUGAAGAGGG